CAGUAAAGGAUGCACGCUGCACAUUUUUCACGUUUUAAAAUAUAUUGUUCAGUGAACAAUGGCUGCAAACAGCAGGCUCAUUGGUACUAUAUUCAGCUUGCUGCUUAUAUGGGUUGUCCAAGGAACCCUGGAGAUUGGC
This is a small nucleolar RNA of Arvicanthis niloticus (Nile rat), 139 nucleotides long. RefSeq annotates it as small nucleolar RNA SNORA70. The record is from RefSeq and is a predicted model, not a curated record. Lineage: Eukaryota; Metazoa; Chordata; Mammalia; Rodentia; Muridae.